GUGCGAAGGGAGGACACCGACAGAGAAUCCCUUGGGUCAACGAGCGCCGAGAGCAACCGAGCAUCCCCGUGGUGAGGACGACGGUGCCAGGAGCAGCACGGAGAGUGAGAUAGCAUCCCCCGGAGGUACGGAUCCCCACGGAGAGCGGCGGAGCAUCCCCGGGGUGAGAAAGGAAGACACGGACAGAG
Long non-coding RNA from Vidua chalybeata, 188 nucleotides. RefSeq lists it as uncharacterized. Lineage: Eukaryota; Metazoa; Chordata; Aves; Passeriformes; Viduidae. The transcript has 2 exons. The record is from RefSeq and is a predicted model, not a curated record.